This 73-nucleotide transfer RNA is filed under the name Diaphorina citri (Asian citrus psyllid). It matches the Rfam family "tRNA". From Rfam's summary of the family: Transfer RNA (tRNA) molecules are approximately 80 nucleotides in length. Their secondary structure includes four short double-helical elements and three loops (D, anti-codon, and T loops). The record is from Rfam by way of RNAcentral. Lineage: Eukaryota; Metazoa; Arthropoda; Insecta; Hemiptera; Psyllidae.
GCCUAGUUAGCUUAGUUGGUAGUGCGUCUGCCUUGUAAGCGCUAGGCCGUGGGUUCGAUUCCCGCUAGGGGCG